CCUACGGGGCGCAGCAGUGGGGAAUAUUGGGCAAUGGGCGAAAGCCUGACCCAGCAAUGCCGCGUGAAUGAAGAAGGUCUUAGGAUUGUAAAAUUCUGUCCUAUGGGAAGAAACAAAUGACGGUACCUGAAGAAGAAGCCCCGGCUAACUACGUGCCAGCAGCCGCGGUAAUACGUAGGGGGCAAGCGUUAUCCGGAUUUACUGGGUGUAAAGGGGGCGCAGACGGCGAUGCAAGCCAGGAGUGAAAGCCCGGGGCCCAACCCCGGGACUGCUCUUGGAACUGCGUGGCUAGAGUGCAGGAGGGG
Molecule: ribosomal RNA, 305 nt
Filed under: uncultured bacterium
Lineage: Bacteria
Description: bacterial SSU rRNA
Rfam family: Bacterial small subunit ribosomal RNA
Source: RNAcentral